This 70-nucleotide transfer RNA is filed under the name Spilogale gracilis martirensis. RNAcentral's name for it is "tRNA-Cys". It matches the Rfam family "tRNA". Rfam says of the family: Transfer RNA (tRNA) molecules are approximately 80 nucleotides in length. Lineage: Eukaryota; Metazoa; Chordata; Mammalia; Carnivora; Mephitidae. The record is from RNAcentral.
AAAGCUCUGUGGUGAAAUCUCAUAUUGAAUUGCAAAUUCAAAGAAGCAGCUUCAAUUCUGCCGGGGCUUC